Molecule: ribosomal RNA, 1019 nt
Filed under: Lacticaseibacillus casei
Lineage: Bacteria; Bacillati; Bacillota; Bacilli; Lactobacillales; Lactobacillaceae
Description: bacterial SSU rRNA
Rfam family: Bacterial small subunit ribosomal RNA
Source: RNAcentral
ACAUGCAGUCGAACGAGUUCUCGUUGAUGAUCGGUGCUUGCACCGAGAUUCAACAUGGAACGAGUGGCGGACGGGUGAGUAACACGUGGGUAACCUGCCCUUAAGUGGGGGAUAACAUUUGGAAACAGAUGCUAAUACCGCAUAGAUCCAAGAACCGCAUGGUUCUUGGCUGAAAGAUGGCGUAAGCUAUCGCUUUUGGAUGGACCCGCGGCGUAUUAGCUAGUUGGUGAGGUAAUGGCUCACCAAGGCGAUGAUACGUAGCCGAACUGAGAGGUUGAUCGGCCACAUUGGGACUGAGACACGGCCCAAACUCCUACGGGAGGCAGCAGUAGGGAAUCUUCCACAAUGGACGCAAGUCUGAUGGAGCAACGCCGCGUGAGUGAAGAAGGCUUUCGGGUCGUAAAACUCUGUUGUUGGAGAAGAAUGGUCGGCAGAGUAACUGUUGUCGGCGUGACGGUAUCCAACCAGAAAGCCACGGCUAACUACGUGCCAGCAGCCGCGGUAAUACGUAGGUGGCAAGCGUUAUCCGGAUUUAUUGGGCGUAAAGCGAGCGCAGGCGGUUUUUUAAGUCUGAUGUGAAAGCCCUCGGCUUAACCGAGGAAGCGCAUCGGAAACUGGGAAACUUGAGUGCAGAAGAGGACAGUGGAACUCCAUGUGUAGCGGUGAAAUGCGUAGAUAUAUGGAAGAACACCAGUGGCGAAGGCGGCUGUCUGGUCUGUAACUGACGCUGAGGCUCGAAAGCAUGGGUAGCGAACAGGAUUAGAUACCCUGGUAGUCCAUGCCGUAAACGAUGAAUGCUAGGUGUUUGAAGGGUUUCCGCCCUUCAGUGCCGCAGCUAACGCAUUAAGCAUUCCGCCUGGGGGAGUACGACCGCAAGGUUGAAACUCAAAGGAAUUGACGGGGGCCCGCACAAGCGGUGGAGCAUGUGGGUUUAAUUCGAAGCAACGCGAAGAACCUUACCAGGUCUUGACAUCUUUUGAUCACCUGAGAAGAUCAGGUUUCCCCUUCGGGGGCAAAAU